Mugil cephalus (flathead mullet) is the source of this 1490-nucleotide RNA transcript. RefSeq lists it as uncharacterized. The record is from RefSeq and is a predicted model, not a curated record. Lineage: Eukaryota; Metazoa; Chordata; Actinopteri; Mugiliformes; Mugilidae. The transcript is spliced from 10 exons.
ACCUUGUGCUAUUGAUCAGAGUCUGUGUUUCUUGGAGCAGAAGGAGCCAUGGAUGAGAGGCUGGCGGCCAGUCCCUGCUCCUCUGAACCCGACAGUCCCAGAGGUCUGAACCGAGGCUGUCUCCUUGACCCUGCAGAUGUCCACCAUGAUUUGUCCGUCAUUGUCCCCGAGACCCCCAGCCCAGAGCUCAGCAGGAGGAGGAGACGUCGUAUCACAGAGGAGCGUUUCAGCCCGGUGGCGGUUAGCAACUCUCCAGGAUCAGAGCACCUCACGGCCACUGAACGAGGGUUUUCUCAUAAAUCCAAGCGCAGGAGGUUGGCCGAGCAGAGCGUGGGCUUCCUUCCUGCUUCCUCUCUGAGGACGUUGCCUCUCGGCACCUGGUUGAACAAACCGUUAUCCACUGCACCCUCUUCCUCUACCUCCUCCUCCUCAUCAUCAUCGUCCUCUUCUUCCUCCUCGUCCCCCUCGUCAUCAUCCGCCUCCAGCCUCACACCAGCAUCAGUCCUCCGGUCCAGACAUAUUCAGACCACCUCAUUGUCGCCCUCAUCAUCAUCUGCAGCAGCAGCAGCUUCCAGCCCCGGGUCACUGUCCUUCCUCACUGCAGAGGAGAGGAGGUGGUUGAACGGAGAACAAGGAGACGCCUCAGCAGUGGCUGCAGAGCAGAUCGUCAUCAGCGAUGAUGAAGAGCUGGUGGUUCGCUCGUUACAGAUGGAGGAGGACGAGGCGCUGGCUCGAAGCCUCCAGGAUCAGUUUGACCGAGAGGAGUCAGACAGCAGACACCACCACCACCAUCAUCCUCCUCCUCCUCCUCAUCCUCCUCCCCAUCAUCUUCAUCAGCAGCAGCAGAGUCAACACAGGUAUUAUGCCUACAUGGAGCACAGCUGGAUGUCCCAAGUACUGGCUGCUGUUUCCCCUCUGGUGGGUCUGGAAGAAGAUCUGACUGGUCAACGCAGACGACGCGGCAGGAGGAGGAACGGCAUGCCCGACUUUUCUGAUGAUCUACAGGGAAAUGAUUACGAGGCUCUGCUGGCGUUUGAGGAGCGUCAGGGCUCCGUCGUGUCCAGGAAGCUGAGCCGGAGCGACAUCCAGAGGUUUCCCACCAAAACGUUCCGGUCAGCGAGCGGCGCCGACAACACACAGUGUCACAUCUGUUUCUCUGACUACGCUGAUGGGGAGAAGCUGAGGAUGCUGCCCUGUUUCCAUGACUACCACGUCCAGUGCAUCGACCGGUGGCUGAAGGUAGCGACUCUCAAACGUUGGCUUCGCUGAAAAGAGACCAAACAUUAACAUCCAUCCUGAGUGAUUUGAUUAUGGCUGCACAGGACAACACCACGUGUCCCAUCUGCAGAGUGAACCUGAGUGAUGGAGACUCCGUGGCCCCGACGCUCUGACGACCGGACGUUUUUACAGAUUUCUGUUUUAUUGAGAUGUUUUGCUGCGUGUUGAUCUACAGAAGCUGAAUAAAUAAUAAAGCUGUUCUUUUUCUCGUG